GAGAGAGACAUGCGCGCAUAUCAAUAAGCGGAGGAAAAGAAACUAACUAGGAUUCCCUCAGUAACGGCGAGUGAAGCGGGAAGAGCUCAAAUUUGAAAUCUUCAAGGUUCUACCUUGACGAAUUGUAGUUUAAAGAAGUGUUUUCUGUUGGAGUUUUGGUAAAAGUUCUUUGGAAUAGGACAUCAUAGAGGAUGAGAAUCCCGUAUUUGACCAUUAUUUCCAGCUUUGUGAUACACUUUCAAAGAGUCGGAUUGUUUGGGAAUGCAGUCCAAAAUGGGUGGUAAAUUUCAUCUAAAGCUAAAUAUUGGCGAGAGACCGAUAGCGAACAAGUACCGUGAGGGAAAGAUGAAAAGAACUUUGAAAAGAGAGUUAAACAGUACGUGAAAUUGUCAAAAGGGAAGCGUUUGACACCAGUGUUGUUUUCUCGAAAAUCAAUUAAAAAGAGUCAGAUUUUGUGUUGUAUUGACCUUAAUCAGCUUCUGCACUCAAUUUUCUUGUCUUUUUUUAAUGCACUUUUCGUUUAACAAGUCAACAUCAGUUUCUUUUGUUGUAAAAGGGUCAUUGGAAGGUGGCUUUCUUUUCGGAGAAAGUGUUUAUAGCCUUUGGCCUCUGCAAUCGGAGAGAUUGAGGUCUGCAGCGUAGAUCCUUCGGGGUUAGAUACAUUUGUGCUAAGUUAUAGCCUUUCAUAGACAACUUGUUGACUAUGAUCAGUCAUGUAGCUUACUCGCUUAUGCUAUUUUACCUACGCUUAGGAUGUUGAUGUGAUACUGCGAGCA
This 776-nucleotide ribosomal RNA is filed under the name uncultured Neocallimastigales. RNAcentral describes it as "partial large subunit ribosomal RNA". It matches the Rfam family "Eukaryotic large subunit ribosomal RNA", at positions 23 to 646 of the family's 3401-position model. Lineage: Eukaryota; Fungi; Neocallimastigomycota; Neocallimastigomycetes; Neocallimastigales. The record is from RNAcentral.